RNAcentral lists this ribosomal RNA (355 nucleotides) under uncultured eukaryote. RNAcentral's name for it is "SSU rRNA". It matches the Rfam family "Eukaryotic small subunit ribosomal RNA", at positions 594 to 945 of the family's 1831-position model. The record is from RNAcentral.
AUAGCGUAUACUAAAGUUGUUGCGGUUAAAAAGCUCGUAGUUGGAUGUCAGUUGCGGGCGGGCGGUCCACCGUUUUGGUGGUUUACUGCUCGUCCCGUGACCUACCAACCGGCCUCCCCCGCUAUGCUCUUCACCGAGUGUGGCGGGUGGCCGGAACUUUUACUUUGAAAAAAUUAGAGUGCUCUAAGCAGGUGCAUGCCGCCUGAAUAACACAGCAUGGAAUAAUGGAAUAGGACCUCGGUUCUAUUUUGUUGGUUUUCGGAAUUCUGAGGUAAUGAUUAAUAGGGACGGACGGGGGUAUUCGUAUUGCGGCGCUAGAGGUGAAAUUCUUGGACCGUCGCAAGACGAACUAGUG